RNA transcript from Mytilus californianus (California mussel), 3341 nucleotides. It is a transcript of the gene named adhesion G protein-coupled receptor B2-like, with no coding region annotated. Lineage: Eukaryota; Metazoa; Mollusca; Bivalvia; Mytilida; Mytilidae. The transcript has 25 exons. The record is from RefSeq and is a predicted model, not a curated record.
CACAAAGUGUUUGGCUAUAUUUAAAGGUACAACAUAAUAUGUAGUAGUCCUUUAAAAGUAAACAAAAUAUGCAUGUCGACAUUAUAGUUAUUGUAUUGAUAUUAAUUAUACUAAAAAGCGUUGAUGGAUCCCAUUUUCUCGGAGGAAUGAUAACAUGGAAACAUACGGAUAAUCAGCAAAUAGAAAUAACAUGUAGAGUAUCAUUCCGUCGAGAUUUCUCUAACCACUUUUGUGAUGAGUACAACAUAUUUAAUACUGAUGUACCGUUAAGUGGAGUAGGAGGUGAACUAGAUUGCUAUAGAGGUUGUAACUCUGUUCUACUGGCUGAUCUGUCCUGCUACUGCACAGAUUUCAGUGAAAAAGACAAUUGGACAUUUGGUCAGAGAACCGUAAAUUUCUCUCUCCCUAAAACAUCGGACGACAUAUACCAAUUUCGAUACAGUGGUUCAGCUUGGAUAGAUAUAAUUGGAGGUGGAUCUGCUUGGUCAUUGCUAUCAACUGUUAAUAUAUCUAAACGCCAAGAUACUGGUAAAAUCAAUUCUCCACCAACAUCAUCUGUACCACCAUUUAUUCAAUUAAAACAAGGAUGUUUUUAUGUAUUGACAAUUCCAGUCGAAGACGGAGACAAUGAUAUAAUAGGAUGUCGAUGGGCAAGUGGCAGUAGUGAAUGUGGCGGCGUAUGUAACAAUCUGAUUAAUUCAGAAUUGAAUAAGGAUGCAUGCGUUAUCUCGUAUAACACAACUGUUGAUCAAAGUCUGUACGCUGUUGCACUACAGAUUGAGGAUUUUGCCACGGAACAAAGAGACAAUCAUUUAAGCAGUGUUCCAUUGCAGUUUGUAAUCGAUGUAACACAGAAUGACUCAAAUGAAUCGUGUGAACUGAAACCAGAAUUAGCCAAUAUUAAUUCUAACGUCGUAAUUCCUGUGAACACUACGUACCAUCAGACUAUUAUAGCAAUAGGAGCUGGAAUUUCCGAAAUAAACGUUCUUACCUCGACAGAAAUAUCCAAAUCGAGGUUGUUAAAGUAUGGGACAUCCAACGACCGAUGGUAUGUCAACGUCACAUGGACACCUACAGAGAUGGAUAUUGGAAAUCAUAGUUUAUGUUAUACAGCUUUUGAUAGUAUCAGUCAAGCUUCCGAAAAGAAAUGUACAACUGUAUACGUGACAAAUUCGACAAAUAUUUGUAGAGAAAAUCUGGACAAAUUUAAUACUAAAUGGAAUAUAGCAGCAGCAAAUACACACGCUACAUUAGCCUGCACUGGUGAAUACACUGGUAAUGCUUCGAGAUACUGCGAUAAUGAUGGAAAGUGGGAGGAACCGAACUACAUCAAUUGUAUAAGUAAAUCAAUACAAAAUCUGAAAGACCAGACAGUUAAGCUUUUAUCUGGAGAGAGUGACGAUACACUUGUGAGCACUAUAUUGAGAGAUUUAGAAAACAUAACAAAGGGUAAACAUGGAUUACGUUCUGGUGAUUUGCUGACAUCAUCAGCUGUAUUGAAUGAUAUUGCCAAGUAUGUUACAGAACACACUGAAAAACUUACAGUUGAUCAACUACAGAUCUUUGGUUCUCUUUGCGACAACAUACUAGAUGAUAGUAACCAUCAGUCAUGGGAAAAACUCAACAAUGAGGGAUUAGGUGGUGUUACUUCACUUGUAAACGCAGUUACAGAGUACAAUAAUGCGUUUAAUAAUGUUGUAGACGGUAAAUUCUCAAUAAUCGUUGAAAAAGAAAAUGUUGUAAUUGAAGUAGGGAAGGCUAGUUCGGAUGAGAUAAUUGUUCCUGAUCGUUCGAAAACAUCUGAUUCUUGGAUAGCAGAUUCAGCGACUGAAAUUAAACUGAAGACGAACAGAUGUAGCGGUUUGACGGGAUAUAGUAGCACAUUCUAUAGAAAUAUUUCAAGACUUUUUCCGGAGUAUUUAAUAUUAAAUGGGGAAAUACAGUCUUUUAAUGGGAGUUAUGAUGUAAAUUCUAUUAUAGCUGAUUUUACGAUUCAUGGAAGAUCUUGUUCGAAUUUUUCCUUACUAAUAAAAUUCGAUCAUAUUUUGGGAGACUAUUCCAGACCUUUUUGUGGAUUCUGGGAUUUCAGUGCUCCAAAUACUGUUAAUGGAGCUUGGUCCUCAUUUGGUUCACAAGUUGUCGAUGCUACAGAUUCUUACACGAUAUGUGAAUACAAUCACACAACUAAUUUUGCCAUAUUGAUGAGUCCAGGAAGGACACCAUUGUCUCACCAAUUACCACUUAGCCUGAUAUCAGCCAUUGGAAGUGGAGUGUCAAUUUUGUUUCUGGUCAUAACAGUUGUCGUUCAUUUUGUUCUAUGGAAGUUGUAUGUUCAGCGAUUGCAGUUACCUUACAUUAUAUGUUCCUAACAGACUUUGCUCUGAUGCUGGCUGAGGCUAUUCAUAUAGUGAGAAUGGUUGUUAUUAUUUUCCCUACCAGAUCUAUAGUUCAUAAGCUGCUACCUGCAUGUUGGAUUGUUCCUGCUGGUAUAGUUGGAAUUUCGGCCAGUGCGACUAGACUUAACGGAUAUGGCAAUCAACAGUUUUGUUGGUUAACCCUUGAAUCAAAUCUCAUCUGGGCGUUCAUUGGACCAGCAUUACUUGUGAUUCUGAUUAAUUUGAUUAUCAUCAUUAUAACUGUGCAUAAAAUGAUGACCACUAGAGGGCUUGCUGCGAAAUCACUUAAAGAGAAAUCUAAGAUUGGUUUGAAAAGUAUUUGUGUCAUCUUGCCGUUGUUUGGAGUAACGUGGGUACUAGGUGCUUUUUCUGUGAACGAUGAUCUAGUCAUUUUCCAAUACCUAUUUGCAAUUUUCAACUCUCUUCAGGGUCUUUUUAUAUGUCUGUUUCACUGUUUCUUGAAUAAGCAGGUCAGACAAGGCUACCGUAAAUAUCAAAAACGACGAAACGCUAAUCGCAUGGAUUCUAAACUAUCUACUGAUUCUUCUAAUUAUGACAGUAACAAAACACAACAACGCAUCAACGAUAAUCGGGUACAGAAGAAAGAAACGAAAAAUUACAAAAACGAAAGUCAAGACCAAAAUGUACAAUCCAAUCUUAGAUAUAAAUAUACCAAUUCAGCCUAUUCGCAGGAUGGUUAUUAACUGUCUUAGCAAAUUACUAAUAGAACUUAUGAGACACAUUAGUAGUGUUUAUUGUAGUAAUGAUUCGAUUCAUACCAUGAAACAGAGAAAGACACAACAAAGAGCAUACCACAUUGGUAUAAAGUAGUUUAUAAAGUGUACGUUACUAAUUCAAAAAGGACAUAGUUUUUAUUUAUAUUAACAAAAUGUAAUUAUAAUAUUACAAUAUUUUUAUCUAUUAAAAUUAUCAUUACAUAAUAAA